This 497-nucleotide ribosomal RNA is filed under the name uncultured Modestobacter sp. Its description in RNAcentral is "bacterial SSU rRNA". It matches the Rfam family "Bacterial small subunit ribosomal RNA", at positions 9 to 527 of the family's 1533-position model. The record is from RNAcentral. Lineage: Bacteria; Bacillati; Actinomycetota; Actinomycetes; Geodermatophilales; Geodermatophilaceae.
MGAGUUUGAUCAUGGCUCAGGACGAACGCUGGCGGCGUGCCUAACACAUGCAAGUCGAACGGAGGUAGCAAUACCUCAGUGGCGAACGGGUGCGUAACACGUGAAGAACUUGUCCAUCGGCGGGGGAUAGCCGGCCCAACGGCCGGGUAAUACCGCGUACGCUUGUCGGGUGGCAUCAUCUGACAAGGAAAGCAGCAGUGCACCGAUGGAGAGCUUCGCGGCCUAUCAGCUAGUUGGCGGGGUAAUGGCCCACCAAGGCGACGACSGGUAGCUGGUCUGAGAGGAUGACCAGCCACAUUGGGACUGAGACACGGCCCAGACUCCUACGGGAGGCAGCAGUGGGGAAUAUUGCGCAAUGGGGGAAACCCUGACGCAGCGACGCCGCGUGUGGGAUGACGGCCUUCGGGUUGUAAACCACUGUCGGGAGGGACGAAAAAAAUGACGGUACCUCCAAAGGAAGCACCGGCUAACUCUGUGCCAGCCGCCGCGGUAAUACA